GAUGAACGCUGGCGGCGUGCCUAAUACAUGCAAGUCGAGCGAACAGACGAGGAGCUUGCUCCUCUGACGUUAGCGGCGGACGGGUGAGUAACACGUGGAUAACCUACCUAUAAGACUGGGAUAACUUCGGGAAACCGGCGCUAAUACCGGAUAAUAUAUUGAACCGCAUGGUUCAAUAGUGAAAGACGGUUUUGCUGUCACUUAUAGAUGGAUCCGCGCCGCAUUAGCUAGUUGGUAAGGUAACGGCUUACCAAGGCAACGAUGCGUAGCCGACCUGAGAGGGUGAUCGGCCACACUGGAACUGAGACACGGUCCAGACUCCUACGGGAGGCAGCAGUAGGGAAUCUUCCGCAAUGGGCGAAAGCCUGACGGAGUAACGCCGCGUGAGUGAUGAAGGUCUUCGGAUCGUAAAACUCUGUUAUUAGGGAAGAACAAAUGUGUAAGUAACUAUGCACGUCUUGACGGUACCUAAUCAGAAAGCCACGGCUAACUACGUG
Molecule: ribosomal RNA, 497 nt
Filed under: uncultured bacterium
Lineage: Bacteria
Description: partial 16S ribosomal RNA
Rfam family: Bacterial small subunit ribosomal RNA
Source: RNAcentral